This 500-nucleotide ribosomal RNA is filed under the name uncultured bacterium. Its description in RNAcentral is "bacterial SSU rRNA". It matches the Rfam family "Bacterial small subunit ribosomal RNA", at positions 28 to 507 of the family's 1533-position model. The record is from RNAcentral.
GACGAACGCUGGCGGCGUGCCUAAUACAUGCAAGUCGAGCGGAAUGAUGAAGAAGCUUGCUUCUUCUGAUUUUAGCGGCGGACGGGUGAGUAACACGUGGGCAACCUACCUUGUAGAUUGGGAUAACUCCGGGAAACCGGGGCUAAUACCGAAUAAUCCAUUUUGCUUCAUGGCGAGAUGUUGAAAGACGGUUUCGGCUGUCACUACAAGAUGGGCCCGCGGCGCAUUAGCUAGUUGGUAGGGUAAUGGCCUACCAAGGCGACGAUGCGUAGCCGACCUGAGAGGGUGAUCGGCCACACUGGAACUGAAACACGGCCCAGACUCCUACGGGAGGCAGCAGUAGGGAAUCUUCCACAAUGGACGAAAGUCUGAUGGAGCAACGCCGCGUGAGUGAAGAAGGUUUUCGGAUCGUAAAACUCUGUUGUAAGGGAAGAACACGUACGAGAGUAACUGCUCGUACCUUGACGGUACCUUAUUAGAAAGCCACGGCUAACUACGUG